CGUCAGGAUGAACGCUAGCUACAGGCUUAACACAUGCAAGUCAGGGGCAGCGAGAGAAAGCUUGCUUCCUGUCGGCGACCGGCGGCACGGGUGAGUAACGCGUAUCCAACCUUCCCCAUAGUAGAGGAUAGCCCGGCGAAAGUCGGAUUAAUACUCUAUGUUGUACAACGAGGACAUCUGAAUUGUACCAAAGAUUCAUCGCUAUGGGAUGGGGAUGCGUCUGAUUAGGUAGUCGGCGGGGUAACGGCCCACCGAGCCGACGAUCAGUAGGGGUUCUGAGAGGAAGGUCCCCCACAUUGGUACUGAGACACGGACCAAACUCCUACGGGAGGCAGCAGUGAGGAAUAUUGGUCAAUGGGCGCGAGCCUGAACCAGCCAAGUAGCGUGCAAGGAUGACUGCCCUAUGGGUUGUAAACUGCUUUUAUGCGGGAAUAAAGUCAGGUACGCGUACCUGUUUGUAUGUACCGCAUGAAUAAGGACCGGCUAAUUCCGUGCCAGCCGCCGC
RNAcentral lists this ribosomal RNA (505 nucleotides) under uncultured bacterium. RNAcentral describes it as "bacterial SSU rRNA". It matches the Rfam family "Bacterial small subunit ribosomal RNA", at positions 22 to 518 of the family's 1533-position model. The record is from RNAcentral.